UGCAAGUCGAGCGAAGUAGCAAUACUUAGUGGCAGACGGGCGAGUAACAUGUAGGUAUCUACCCUAUGGCCUGGAAUAACACGAGGAAACUUGUGCUAAUACUGGAUAAGUCUUUACGGAGAGAGCUUUAUGCACCAUUGGAUGAGCCUGCACUUGAUUAGUUUGUUGGUAGGGUAAUGGCCUACCAAGACUGUGAUCAAUAGCUGAUUUGAGAGGAUGAUCAGCCACAUUGGGACUGAGACACGGCCCAAACUCCUACGGGAGGCAGCAGUGGGGAAUCUUGCACAAUGGAGGAAACUCUGAUGCAGCGAUGCCGCGUGAGUGAAGAAGGCCUUUGGGUUGUAAAGCUCUUUCGUCGGGGAAGAAAAUGACUGUACCCGAAUAAGAAGGUCCGGCUAACUUCGUGCCAGCAGCCGCGGUAAUACGAAGGGACCUAGCGUAGUUCGGAAUUACUGGGCUUAAAGAGUUCGUAGGUGGUUGAAAAAGUUGGUGGUGAAAUCCCAGAGCUUAACUCUGGAACUGCCAUCAAAACUUUUCAGCUAGAGUUUGAUAGAGGAAAGCAGAAUUUCUAGUGUAGAGGUGAAAUUCGUAGAUAUUAGAAAGAAUACCAAUUGCGAAGGCAGCUUUCUGGAUCAUUACUGACACUGAGGAACGAAAGCAUGGGUAGCGAAGAGGAUUAGAUACCCUCGUAGUCCAUGCCGUAAACGAUGUGUGUUAGACGUUGGAAAUUUAUUUUCAGUGUCGCAGCGAAAGCAAUAAACACACCGCCUGGGGAGUACGACC
RNAcentral lists this ribosomal RNA (783 nucleotides) under uncultured marine bacterium. RNAcentral's name for it is "bacterial SSU rRNA". It matches the Rfam family "Bacterial small subunit ribosomal RNA", at positions 56 to 887 of the family's 1533-position model. The record is from RNAcentral.